Molecule: ribosomal RNA, 525 nt
Filed under: Chromobacterium sp. 53
Lineage: Bacteria; Pseudomonadati; Pseudomonadota; Betaproteobacteria; Neisseriales; Chromobacteriaceae
Description: bacterial LSU rRNA
Rfam family: Bacterial large subunit ribosomal RNA
Source: RNAcentral
CUGAUAACCGAAGCUGCGGAUGGGCGCGUAAGCGUCCGUGGUAGGGGAGCUUUCUGUAGGUCUGUGAAGGUGUCUCGUAAGGGAUGCUGGAGAUAUCAGAAGUGCGAAUGCUGACAUGAGUAGCGAUAAAGCGGGUGAAAAGCCCGCUCGCCGAAAGCCCAAGGUUUCCUACGCAACGUUCAUCGGCGUAGGGUGAGUCGGCCCCUAAGGCGAGGCUGAAAAGCGUAGUCGAUGGGAAACGGGUUAAAAUUCCCGUACUUUUAUGCAGUGCGAUGUGGGGACGGAGAAGGUUAGGUCAUCAGACUGUUGGAAUAGUCUGUUUAAGCCGGUAGGCUGGAGUGGUAGGCAAAUCCGCCGCUCCUUAAGGCCGAGAAGUGAUGACGAGGGUCUACGGACCUGAAGUGACUGAUACCACGCUUCCAGGAAAAGCCACUAAGCUUCAGCUGCAUAAGAACCGUACCGCAAACCGACACAGGUGGGCAGGAUGAGAAUUCUAAGGCGCUUGAGAGAACUCAGGAGAAGGAA